GACGAACCGUCCAAACGUUAUUCGGAAUUACUGGGCUUAAAGGGUUCGUAGGCGGCCUCGUAAGUGAGAUGUGAAAUCCCACGGCUCAACCGUGGAAGUGCAUUUCAUACUGCAAGGCUUGAGGGAGACAGAGGUAAGCGGAACUGAUGGUGGAGCGGUGAAAUGCGUUGAUAUCAUCAGGAACACCGGUGGCGAAAGCGGCUUACUGGGUCUCUUCUGACGCUGAGGAACGAAAGCCAGGGGAGCGAACGGG
RNAcentral lists this ribosomal RNA (253 nucleotides) under uncultured bacterium. Its description in RNAcentral is "partial 16S ribosomal RNA". It matches the Rfam family "Bacterial small subunit ribosomal RNA", at positions 524 to 776 of the family's 1533-position model. The record is from RNAcentral.